This 195-nucleotide ribosomal RNA is filed under the name Trypanosoma vegrandis. RNAcentral describes it as "partial small subunit ribosomal RNA". The record is from RNAcentral. Lineage: Eukaryota; Euglenozoa; Kinetoplastea; Trypanosomatida; Trypanosomatidae.
CCMCUUYUNCGGAGGGCAGCVGGCGCGCAAAUUGCCCAAUGUCAAAAAAAAACGAUGAGGCAGCGAAAAGAAAUAGAGCCGGCAGUGCCACUGGCAUUGCCGUUUUCAAUGGGGGAUAUUUAAACCCAUCCAAAAUCGAGUAUCAAUUGGAGGACAAGUCUGGUGCCAGCACCCGCGGUAAUUCCAGCUCCAAAA